CUGCUUCAUCUCAUUAAACUGGUUAUAGUGUCUGGAGUACUCUGGUACCAUCAUUUAUUUCAGCAUUAAACAGUUUUUAAACUUUUAAUGUUUUAAUGCUAAACAAGAGUCCCCGGCAAUCCAUCCCCUCUGUGCUGCUUUGGCAAAUAAGGAAGUAUUAGCCUGAGCAGCAAUAGGCAGCUGUGAUUGGCUGAGAGUGUCAGCUGACUGCUUUUAGCCUGUCAGAGUUCCAACUGACCGUAUGAAUGGGUAUGACAACAAGGAAGUGUGUAAUCUCUGCCUUGGCUACACAUACUGAAGGGGCCGGACUGUGGGUGGCCAGGGACUCUUAUUUUGUGGCAUACUGCAUGAACAUGGUGCAACACUGAAUGGAGGGACAGUGCCAGGGCAUUCCAGGCACUAUAACCAAUUCAAAGAGAUGAAAUGUUUAUAGUGACUACAGUGUCCCUUUAAGCCCCCCUCCGUCCCCAUUUUAUGACAUUCCAAAAUUUUCAACCUGAAAACUAUGCUUAACAAUUAAUUUAUACCAUGUUUAUCAGCCUUUCUAU
Non-coding RNA from Pelobates cultripes (western spadefoot toad), 548 nucleotides. The record is from the annotation of a GenBank genome assembly. Lineage: Eukaryota; Metazoa; Chordata; Amphibia; Anura; Pelobatidae.